GAAAACCCUAAUCCACCAAAAUGAAUGAUUGAUUUUGAUGAUGACUUGAUCAAAUUUUUUAUUCAAUUUUGGUGUGACUUCAUUUGUCCCCUUUUAUCUUCAUCCCUUUUGUUUCUUUUAUUCAUUUGGAUGGAUUUGUGUCUAUCUUGUUCAUGAUGUGUGGAUUGGUGCUUGAUGAACUUUCAUCAUUUCAAAUCUACCUUCUAAGUGAUCAUGGAUCAUUUAAGGUUCUUUGGAUUGAUGCAUAAGUUUGUCCUAAGUGUCAUGAAAUGUGGAUUGAAG
This 282-nucleotide long non-coding RNA is filed under the name Lathyrus oleraceus (garden pea). Its description in RNAcentral is "Pisum sativum (pea) long non-coding RNA (PSAT_LNC035929)". The record is from RNAcentral. Lineage: Eukaryota; Viridiplantae; Streptophyta; Magnoliopsida; Fabales; Fabaceae.